Molecule: long non-coding RNA, 3130 nt
Filed under: Canis lupus familiaris (dog)
Lineage: Eukaryota; Metazoa; Chordata; Mammalia; Carnivora; Canidae
Description: lncRNA (ENSCAFG00845011936.1)
Source: RNAcentral
UUUCAUAUUAUUAUUUUAUUAUUUACUUUAAGCAGGCAGAGAGUGAGUUCAGCAAACAUCUCCUCUCCGUGAACACCGAGCCAUUCCAGGCGCUGGUGGCGGGGAAGCGACCAGGAGAAAGGUCCCCGGUGCCACUUCCGGGCCACGGGCUUGUUGCUUGUGAAUCCGUUUCAUUCAUCGGGUCAGCAGCUGCCAGAGCCUCUGCUCUGCGGUGUCCCAGGGACCCAGGUGCAGAGGGUGGGGGGCUGGGCCCUCCUGCACCCGGGAGCCUUGGUGGCCUUGGGGGUUGGGGGUCAGGGGUGGGUCUGCUGCUGAAGCCCUGGUUCCCGAGACCCACCCCCCACCCCGGGGGGCACAGGGUCACAGCUGCUGGAGGCACCUGUGGGCUACGGAGCCUCGGGGACCCCUUGAUAGAUGCUGGGCACCCCCAGGCUCUGUGGGGUAGCGUGGAGGUGGGCUGCGGUUCCUGCCCCAUUAAGAUGCCUGAAGUCCACCAACCACUUGUCCGCUCAUAGUGUGUGUGUGAGUGAGUGUGCUCAGGGCUUCAGGGAGUGUCCUUAGCUUGAAGGGGGGCCCUUGAGCCCUGGCUUUGCCUUCCCCGCUCCCAGGCCCAAGAGUUUAGGAACUCAGAGAUGCCCAGCAGGACCCGCCCGGCUUGACAUCUCGGGGAGGACCCCUGGCCAGUUUGCGGCCCAGGUCCCCUGGUCACCUGGCCACGGGUGUCCAGGGAAGCCGAAGGUCUGACGACCCAAAGGCCACAGGCCCUGACUGUCCACCCUCAGAACCACGUUCCCUGCCCGCUGACAUAACGUUCUGGGGCCCCGUGGGCAGACGGAGGCACACCCAGCCUCAUUCCCUUCUCCACCUGUGGCUCUGCCUCUGGUAUCUCGGAAGUCCUGGCCAGAGUCCCGCCUCCCUGCCCUGUGACCCUCACUGCAUGUCACCCAAGCCUGGGACCUAUCUUGGCAUCCUCUGGAUUCAGUCGCGGAGCCCACUGAACAGCCUCCUGUGCAGCGGCCGCUUCCACUCGUGCCUGUGCCGGGAGAGGCGGGGCACCGCGCCCGAACUCCCACCCGUCCACCCCACAAGGGCCUGGACUCAUGGCUACUGUCCUGAACUCGUGGGGCCUCAGCUGCAUCACCAGCCAGCGGGGACGAUGACAGUCUCAGAGUUAUCGUGAGGACACGACACCAGCUCAGGCCCAGCGCCCAGCAGGUGUCCAAGGAACAUGCGCUCAGGACCAGUCAUCCACCAGGAUCCCUGUACCACUCUCCCGCUCGAGGACUUACCAUGGCUCCCAUGUCCCCUCACGUCGUGUGGAGGCUCUUUUUUGCCAUCUCAGCUGAGCCAGACUGAAAGGAAACAGGUGAGUACUGAGCCCAGGAUGAGCCCCUUGGGUUGCCCUGUGUUCAAGAUCCUUCUCACCAGAGACCCGCCUGGGACCGACCUCACGUGGGGCAACGGCCUCAGACUUGCCAGCGAGCGAGCCCAGCCCUGCCCGUUAGCUGCCAUCCAGCGGUGCACCUGCUGCGUGCCCGCUGGGCGGCCACGACCCCGCACGACCAGGCUGAGGCGGCCACGGCCCUGCACUCGAGGAGCUCCAUCAGCCGGGGGAUGUAAGUCCGUGCGGGGACACAGGAGCCUAGGCCAGCCCGGGGGCCCAGGAAGCUUCUGGAGGGCAUGCUGGUGGAGUUGAAUCUUGAAAGACGAGAGGAUGAGAGCCCAAAGAGGGUAGGGAAAGGUGUGCCAGCAGAGGGAACAGCAUGAGCCAGGGCAAGGAGGUGCUGUCGAGACAGAGGCUGGUGCUGGAGGAGGGGCGGAGGGAGGCAGGAGCUGAGGUGGCAACGCCGGGGGCAGCCUGGGCUGGUCGAGGAGCCCCCGUCGGGUUCCAGCAGCGAAGCGGUGUGUUCCGAAGGUCGCGGCAGGCAGGGGAGAGAGGGGGCUGCUCGGCGGGGCCACCAGGACCUGGGCCGGAGGACGGCCUGUCUGUGUGGGACCAGGGUGGCGUCCAGGCCUCCUGCCCCCUGUGCCCAGCAAGCCGGGCCGGGACAGCGCUCCCGAAGGGCGGCCGGGGCCUGGCUCUGAGGCCAGCUCUGCGCCCGCCCAAAGGCAGAUCCCACGCUCAAGUGGAUUUGGGAGAUGCUGUUCACGGCACUGCAGCCUGCGGGUCAGGACGCCUGUUGGCAGGCCCAGGCUCUGCGAAAUCCUGAAUUUUCCUGCUUACCCAGUGUCCCCAGUGCGCCCAGAGAAACGCUCUCCAGGGUGUGCUGAUUCACAUCCCAAAGGAGAGUCUGGCAAGCUCCUGAGGGCCUGGCUGCCUGGCGACAGAGCCCUUCUCUCUGGAAUCUGGGGGCCCAGAGUGAAGACACGCCAUCCGCUGCAAAUGUCGUGGGCCGGGAGCACCCGGUGGGGGCCAGCGAAGCUGCGAGUGCGGGGAGGCGCCUACAGAGCUGGCAUGGGAGCCCCGAGGAGACCACAGCUUCUCUUUGUGAUUGGGGCCCAUGCGGCUUAGCGCCUCACCUUCCCCAUCUAUAAAAUGGGGGCAGUGAUUCCGCAGCCUCUGCCUAUUUUCAGGGAUGGGGGUAUUAACGUGACACAGCAUUACACGCAGGCAUCCAGGGAGUUUGAUGUUCUGGAAGCAGCAGGCCGUUGUGGCUCCUUGCCAGCAAACAGUCCCGGGCCAGCGCCGACCAUGACGAUGUCCGCGCAGGCACCGGGGCACCAGCCUGGGAGCCGGGCCUGGAGCACGGUGGCUCCGGGGCUUCCGCUGGCAGCAGAGUGUUCACGGUUUCAGGGACACAGUGCUGCGGUGGCAGGCCCGGGGGCGCCCACUCUGACUCCCCACGGGACCAGCGUCCACUGCUGGGCUUCCCUGGGUGAGACCGGGUAACCCGCCUUGGUCCCUGGAGGCCAAUGACAAGCCGGCGCGGGUGGAGAGCCCCGCAAACAGGUAGGCAGCAGAUGCUGUAAGGGCGCGAUGUUCUUUAUUACCUGAACCAACACAUCUGUUUUUACUAAAGAAAAUACCGAGGUCCAGGGAGGCCCAGUGACGGACACAGGCCGGCUGCGGCUCCUGCCAGGCUUGGGAUGAACCCACAGUGGCCUAUGCUGCACAGAGAACGUAUCUGCU